RNAcentral lists this ribosomal RNA (842 nucleotides) under Fuscoporia gilva. RNAcentral's name for it is "partial large subunit ribosomal RNA". It matches the Rfam family "Eukaryotic large subunit ribosomal RNA", at positions 85 to 909 of the family's 3401-position model. The record is from RNAcentral. Lineage: Eukaryota; Fungi; Basidiomycota; Agaricomycetes; Hymenochaetales; Hymenochaetaceae.
AACUGCGAGUGAAGCGGGAAAAGCUCAAAUUUAAAAUCUGGCAGCUUUGCUGUCCGAGUUGUAAUCUGGAGAAGCGUUUUCCGCGCCGGACCGUGUACAAGUUUCUUGGAACAGAACGUCAUAGAGGGUGAGAAUCCCGUCCAUGGCACGGACUCCCGGUGCUUUGUGAUACGCUCUCGAAGAGUCGAGUUGUUUGGGAAUGCAGCUCAAAAUGGGUGGUAAGCUCCAUCUAAAGCUAAAUAUUGGCGAGAGACCGAUAGCGAACAAGUACCGUGAGGGAAAGAUGAAAAGCACUUUGGAAAGAGAGUUAAACAGUACGUGAAAUUGUUGAAAGGGAAACGCUUGAAGUCAGUCGCGUCUUAUGUGACUCAGCCUUGCCUCGGCUUGGUGUAUUUCAUGUAAGACGGGUCAACAUCGAUUUUGACCGGUGGACAAAGGGAGAGGGAAUGUGGCACUCUUCGGAGUGUGUUAUAGCUCUUUCUCAUAUACAUCGGUGGGGAUCGAGGUUCGCAGCGCGCCCUUGUGGCCGGGGGUUCGCCCUACGUAUCGCGCUUAGGAUGUUGGCAUAAUGGCUUUAAGCGACCCGUCUUGAAACACGGACCAAGGAGUCUAACAUGCUCGCAAGUGUUAGGGUGGAAAACCCUUGCGCGGAAUGAAAGUGAAAGUUGAGAGCCUCCGCAAGGGGGUGCAUCGACGCCCGGCCCUGAAGUUUACUGACGGUGCCGCGGUAGAGCGCGUAUGUUGGGACCCGAAAGAUGGUGAACUAUGCCUGAAUAGGGCGAAGCCAGAGGAAACUCUGGUGGAGGCUCGUAGCGAUUCUGACGUGCAAAUCGAUCGUCAAA